RNAcentral lists this ribosomal RNA (301 nucleotides) under Paenibacillus pabuli. RNAcentral's name for it is "partial 16S ribosomal RNA". It matches the Rfam family "Bacterial small subunit ribosomal RNA", at positions 1 to 286 of the family's 1533-position model. The record is from RNAcentral. Lineage: Bacteria; Bacillati; Bacillota; Bacilli; Caryophanales; Paenibacillaceae.
CUUUAUUGGAGAGUUUGAUCCUGGCUCAGGACGAACGCUGGCGGCAUGCCUAAUACAUGCAAGUCGAGCGGAUUUGAAGAGAAGCUUGCUUCUCUGAUGGUUAGCGGCGGACGGGUGAGUAACACGUAGGCAACCUGCCCUCAAGUUUGGGACAACUACCGGAAACGGUAGCUAAUACCGAAUAGUUGUUUUCUUCUCCUGAAGAGAACUGGAAAGACGGAGCAAUCUGUCGCUUGGGGAUGGGCCUGCGGCGCAUUAGCUAGUUGGUGGGGUAACGGCUCACCAAGGCGACGAUGCGUAG